RNAcentral lists this ribosomal RNA (301 nucleotides) under uncultured bacterium. RNAcentral describes it as "partial 16S ribosomal RNA". It matches the Rfam family "Bacterial small subunit ribosomal RNA", at positions 509 to 807 of the family's 1533-position model. The record is from RNAcentral.
CAGUAGCCGCGGGAAUACGUAGGUGGCAAGCGUUGUCCGGAAUUAUUGGGCGUAAAGGGCUCGCAGGCGGUUUCUUAAGUCUGAUGUGAAAGCCCCCGGCUCAACCGGGGAGGGUCAUUGGAAACUGGGAAACUUGAGUGCAGAAGAGGAGAGUGGAAUUCCACGUGUAGCGGUGAAAUGCGUAGAGAUGUGGAGGAACACCAGUGGCGAAGGCGACUCUCUGGUCUGUAACUGACGCUGAGGAGCGAAAGCAUGGGGAGCGAACAGGAUUAGAUACCCCAGUAGUCCCUGUCUCUUAUAC